This is a non-coding RNA of Drosophila melanogaster (fruit fly), 479 nucleotides long. The record is from Ensembl. Lineage: Eukaryota; Metazoa; Arthropoda; Insecta; Diptera; Drosophilidae.
AUGUUUCACUGGAAAUCACAAAAACAAAGGCCGCCAAAGUACUUAAAAUUGUUAAGUUUCAGUCGCGGGUAGAAAGGUGGACUAUCUCGUCUUCCAUCUCGUUCUGAGGAGGUGAAGAAUUCUUCGCCCCGUGGGCGUUGGCGUUGGUGUGGCCAGCGGCGAUUAUUGCCAACUCAUUUUGACUCACUCUCCGCCGACCACUGGCACACGAACAGCGCCUAUAAUUAUGAACCAUAAUGCAAACAUGUGCGAAAACAACGAAAAAGAGUGCCAAAUGGGAGAGUCUUGUAUGGGGGUCUACUCCAUACUCCAAAUUUGGAGGUGAGCCAAUGGACUUGGUGUCAUGCACUUGGAAUAAAUGUUCAUUUCAACUACGAAGUACCAAUACGGUUUUGCAGAAAUGGAUAAGUAAGCAUGAAGACUUAGAUAACAGUAGCUUCCAAAACAGAUGGUUGAAAUUUCAUAUAAGACUUUAAUUU